UAAACGAGAACCUCUAAAUGAGUAAAGUAUCCAUAAAUAUGAUGCAAGAUGCUUUUAUGGAUACUUUACUCAUUUAGAGGUUCUCAUU
Pelobates cultripes (western spadefoot toad) is the source of this 88-nucleotide non-coding RNA. NCBI's taxonomy places the organism in Eukaryota, Metazoa, Chordata, Amphibia, Anura, Pelobatidae. The record is from the annotation of a GenBank genome assembly.